CCUACGGGAGGCAGCAGUGGGGAAUUUUGGACAAUGGGCGAAAGCCUGAUCCAGCCAUUCCGCGUGCAGGACGAAGGCCUUCGGGUUGUAAACUGCUUUUGUACGGAACGAAAAAGCCUUGGCCAAUACCCAAGGUCCAUGACGGUACCGUAAGAAUAAGCACCGGCUAACUACGUGCCAGCAGCCGCGGUAAUACGUAGGGUGCGAGCGUUAAUCGGAAUUACUGGGCGUAAAGCGUGCGCAGGCGGUUAUAUAAGACAGAUGUGAAAUCCCCGGGCUCAACCUGGGAACUGCAUUUGUGACUGUAUAGCUGGAGUGCGGCAGAGGGGGAUGGAAUUCCGCGUGACG
Molecule: ribosomal RNA, 348 nt
Filed under: uncultured bacterium
Lineage: Bacteria
Description: bacterial SSU rRNA
Rfam family: Bacterial small subunit ribosomal RNA
Source: RNAcentral